Molecule: transfer RNA, 61 nt
Filed under: Olsenella timonensis
Lineage: Bacteria; Bacillati; Actinomycetota; Coriobacteriia; Coriobacteriales; Atopobiaceae
Also listed under: 4 other names
Rfam family: tRNA
About the family: Transfer RNA (tRNA) molecules are approximately 80 nucleotides in length. Their secondary structure includes four short double-helical elements and three loops (D, anti-codon, and T loops).
Source: RNAcentral
GGUGGCGCAGUGGUAGCGCAGCUGACUGUUAAUCAGCGUGUCGUAGGUUCGAAUCCUACCC